GAUAUACAUAAAUACAUGCUAUUUACUACCAGAUACACUAAAAUAUGGAGAGAGGCGGAUGAAAUCCCUAGAUGCAUGCGAAUCACACUAAAUCCAGGUAUCUGAAAUACUAAAUAAAGGGAAAAAGGAGAGCGAGAUAGGAGUGACACGAUCGAGAUACAUAGAUACAUGUGAAUCACACUAGAUUCAUAUAUCUCGAAUACAAAAUAUAAUGAGAAAGGCGAGCGAGACAGGAAUAUGGCUAGCGAGAGAGUAGCAUACAUUCAAAUCCACUUGGAAUACAAUGUAUCUAGAAUAAAUUACAGUUAAUUUUGAGUCAUGUAUCUGUGAUAUAUGUAUCUGGAC
Molecule: long non-coding RNA, 345 nt
Filed under: Solanum tuberosum (potato)
Lineage: Eukaryota; Viridiplantae; Streptophyta; Magnoliopsida; Solanales; Solanaceae
Description: long non-coding RNA (STUB_LNC008911)
Source: RNAcentral